This 505-nucleotide ribosomal RNA is filed under the name uncultured bacterium. Its description in RNAcentral is "partial 16S ribosomal RNA". It matches the Rfam family "Bacterial small subunit ribosomal RNA", at positions 28 to 507 of the family's 1533-position model. The record is from RNAcentral.
GACGAACGCUGGCGGCGUGCCUAAUACAUGCAAGUAGAACGCACAGUUUAUACCGUAGCUUGCUACACCAUAGACUGUGAGUUGCGAACGGGUGAGUAACGCGUAGGUAACCUGCCUGGUAGCGGGGGAUAACUAUUGGAAACGAUAGCUAAUACCGCAUAAUAUUAAUUAUUGCAUGAUAAUUAAUUGAAAGGUGCAAUUGCACCACUACCAGAUGGACCUGCGUUGUAUUAGCUAGUAGGUGAGGUAACGGCUCACCUAGGCGACGAUACAUAGCCGACCAGAGAGGGUGAUCGGCCAAACUGGGACUGAGACACGGCCCAGACUCCUACGGGAGGCAGCAGUAGGGAAUCUUCGGCAAUGGACGAAAGUCUGACCGAGCAACGCCGCGUGAGUGAAGAAGGGUUUCGGAUCGUAAAGCUCUGUUGUAAGAGAAGAACGGGUGUGAGAGUGGAAAGUUCACACUGUGACGGUAUCUUACCAGAAAGGGACGGCUAACUACGUG